Molecule: ribosomal RNA, 303 nt
Filed under: uncultured bacterium
Lineage: Bacteria
Description: partial 16S ribosomal RNA
Rfam family: Bacterial small subunit ribosomal RNA
Source: RNAcentral
AGCAGUAGCCGCGGGAAUACGUAGGGUGCAAGCGUUAAUCGGAAUUACUGGGCGUAAAGCGUGCGCAGGCGGUUCGUUAAGACAGAUGUGAAAUCCCCGGGCUUAACCUGGGAACUGCAUUUGUGACUGGCUGGCUAGAGUAUGGCAGAGGGGGGUAGAAUUCCACGUGUAGCAGUGAAAUGCGUAGAGAUGUGGAGGAAUACCGAUGGCGAAGGCAGCCCCCUGGGCCAAUACUGACGCUCAUGCACGAAAGCGUGGGGAGCAAACAGGAUUAGAUACCCCAGUAGUCCCUGUCUCUUAUAU